RNAcentral lists this ribosomal RNA (20 nucleotides) under Beauveria bassiana. RNAcentral's name for it is "partial 18S ribosomal RNA". Lineage: Eukaryota; Fungi; Ascomycota; Sordariomycetes; Hypocreales; Cordycipitaceae. The record is from RNAcentral.
GACAGGGAUGCGGAUCAUUA